AGGACUAACGCUGGCGGCGUGCCUAACACAUGCAAGUCGAGCGGGGUAGCAAUACCCAGCGGCAGACGGGUGAGUAACGCGUGGUCAACCUUCCGUUGAAUGGGGGAUAACUAGCCGAAAGGUUAGCUAAUACCGCAUACGAUCUUUUGAAGGCAUCUUUAAAAGAUGAAAGGAGCAAUUCGUUCAACGACGGGACCGCGUCCCAUUAGCUAGAUGGUGGGGUAAUGGCCUACCAUGGCAACGAUGGGUAGCUGGUUUGAGAGAGCGACCAGCCACACUGGGACUGAGAAACGGCCCAGACUCCUACGGGAGGCAGCAGUGAGGAAUUUUCCGCAAUGGGCGAAAGCCUGACGGAGCGACGCCGCGUGUGGGAAGAAGGCCUUCGGGUCGUAAACCACGUGUCGAAGGGGACGAUAAUGACGGUACCUUGGAGGAAGCCCGGCUAACUACGCGCCAGCAGCCGC
RNAcentral lists this ribosomal RNA (464 nucleotides) under uncultured bacterium. RNAcentral describes it as "SSU rRNA". It matches the Rfam family "Bacterial small subunit ribosomal RNA", at positions 26 to 518 of the family's 1533-position model. The record is from RNAcentral.